This 483-nucleotide ribosomal RNA is filed under the name uncultured bacterium. Its description in RNAcentral is "partial 16S ribosomal RNA". It matches the Rfam family "Bacterial small subunit ribosomal RNA", at positions 28 to 523 of the family's 1533-position model. The record is from RNAcentral.
GAUGAACGCUGGCGGCGUGCUUAACACAUGCAAGUCGAACGGACUGCGAGGAGCUUGCUCCUCAAAGUUAGUGGCGGACGGGUGAGUAACGCGUGGGUAACCUGCCCUAUGCAGGGGGAUAACGUUUGGAAACGAACGCUAAUACCGCAUAAUCUAGUUGGUUCGCAUGAACUAACUAGCAAAGAUUUAUCGGCAUAGGAUGGACCCGCGUUGGAUUAGCUAGUUGGUGAGAUAACAGCCCACCAAGGCAACGAUCCAUAGCCGGCCUGAGAGGGUGAACGGCCACACUGGGACUGAGACACGGCCCAGACUCCUACGGGAGGCAGCAGUGGGGAAUAUUGCACAAUGGGCGCAAGCCUGAUGCAGCGACGCCGCGUGAAGGAUGAAGGUCUUCGGAUCGUAAACUUCUAUCAGCAGGGAAGAAUACCAUGACGGUACCUGACUAAGAAGCCCCGGCUAACUACGUGCCAGCAGCCGCCGUAA